RNAcentral lists this long non-coding RNA (230 nucleotides) under Carica papaya (papaya). RNAcentral's name for it is "long non-coding RNA (CPAP_LNC008371)". The record is from RNAcentral. Lineage: Eukaryota; Viridiplantae; Streptophyta; Magnoliopsida; Brassicales; Caricaceae.
UUGUUAUAGUUUUCAAAUAUUUUAUUUACUUCUGAUUUCUCUUUUAUGAGGAAUACCCAAGUCACUCAUGUAUGGUCAUCAACAAAGACGACAAACUACCUAGAAUCGGUAAUGUGUUGAUUUUGGAGACUCCCCAAAUAUUAAUGUGUAUCAAGGAAAAUAUAUAGAUGAUUUGUAAGGUUGAAUGUAAUAGGAAUUCUGAGUGUGUUUGGACAAUUAACAUAUUUUGC